CACUGAUAAUGAGAACCUCUGGUGACGCCAUUACAAAGUCAUGAGGUUUAAGUGUGAGCCCGGGGACGGGAGGACGGAGGAACGGGGGGACAGGAGGACGGGGGGACGUCAUGGCAACACACUCCAGUUGGUUUCUAUAAUGUGUUUUUUGCUACACAGACAGAAAUGUAAUCUCUGUGGUUCUGGGACACUUGGGGAGCAGAGAGGAGAAGGUUGACGAGGGUAAGAUCGAGAAAGACGCUAAGGACCUGUAUGCUGCUGG
Long non-coding RNA from Solea senegalensis (Senegalese sole), 262 nucleotides. RefSeq lists it as uncharacterized. The record is from RefSeq and is a predicted model, not a curated record. The transcript is spliced from 3 exons. NCBI's taxonomy places the organism in Eukaryota, Metazoa, Chordata, Actinopteri, Pleuronectiformes, Soleidae.